AUCCACCCAAGACCCGGUUCCUCGAUUCCCAUCCUUACGACCGAGGAAAAAAGAGUAAAUUUUCCUAUUAUAGCCUUCUCUCGCACCUUCCCCGCUUCCCACCAGCCGUCUCCACUGUCCUCACCGUCCCCAUCCUCAUCCAUGGCGAAAUCUUCGCCCCCAGCCUCGUGAAGAUCUAGCACGUCCGCCAUCUCGCCUUCGAUCGAGAUCUCGUCUGUGCCGCUCAGACACUAGAUGCUGUUGACUGGGGCAAAGAAUAAUGGGAGAAAAACAGCUGGGUCCUAAAUAACAGAGGGAAACCAACUUUCAAUAAAGUAUUCAACAACUAAUCCACAAAGCAGAUAACUGAACUUGCUGGCCUGCUCUAUAGUGCUGUUGCUUAAAAAGUCAUCUGUGAAGAAAACCAGAGGGAGAAAUUUCACCUGCCAAAGUGGAUAAAGAGAUGGGAAAAGUGAGGCCCAGAGAUUUGCCCCAUUGAUAUUCAGAAGAAUGACUGUGCUUGCAGCAAGAAAUAUUGAGGGAUGAGGUACUACCUUCACUCAGAUAAAGAACUUGCUUGCUUCAGCUUGUUGUAAAAUGGCAAGUUCCCCAAGCUGUGGGUUCUAUAAGUGUUCCUCUGUUGUGAAGCAACCCAUGGCCUAUGCAAGUAUCCACCUGAGUCCUCUGCAUUGGACUUGGGAGGAGGCAAGGAGAACUAAUAUAAACAUGAUGCUCAUGCUACUUGCUGUGCUAUGAAUAAUAAAUUCCUUU
Molecule: long non-coding RNA, 750 nt
Filed under: Homo sapiens (human)
Lineage: Eukaryota; Metazoa; Chordata; Mammalia; Primates; Hominidae
Description: LIX1L antisense RNA 1
Source: RNAcentral